This 1017-nucleotide long non-coding RNA is filed under the name Olea europaea (common olive). RNAcentral's name for it is "long non-coding RNA (OEUR_LNC001705)". The record is from RNAcentral. Lineage: Eukaryota; Viridiplantae; Streptophyta; Magnoliopsida; Lamiales; Oleaceae.
UUCAUUUUUGGGUGACUAUGUUCAUCUUCUUCUUUGUAUGCAACAUCUUGUCGGACAGAUUCUCGAGUAGUUGAGUGCAUUUUUGAGUGAGUUUUUGUGAUUCUAUUUGGGCGAAGAGUUUGAGAGUCUUGUAAUUAGGUUUGAUGGUCCAUUAUAGUAACUUCACUAGGUCGUUUGGGUUUAGGAAUCUUGUGGCCACCGUGAUACAGAAGGGUACAAUAAAUUCUAUGCCCGGUUCUCAUGAUAUCUAAUGCCUUUGGUGAUCUAUUUUCGAUUGUAAGAUUUGGUCGGAUUUGUAAGCUUGUGAUCGUGUAAUCUGUAUUAUUUGUAUUAUAGUUUAUAUUUACUUCAAUAAUCAAAGCAACUAAUUUACAACCAAGCUAGUUAAUUGAGAACUAGCAAUUUUAUUUUAUUUUAUUUACACUAUUUAUAAAACAAGACGAUGGUGCGAAUUAGAGUAGAAACAAUUUCAUUUCUCCAGCCAGCCACCAAUAGGCUCCAUAAACUAAUAAUGCUAUUCAUCAUUAUUGGUGUUAAACACCAGUUCACAUGACAAUUACAUGAUAUUAAAUGAUAUAUUCAUUUAAAUAAAACCCAAAUCAACACCACCAAUGAAAUGACCCAAGAACUCUACUAAAUUUCCACCUACGAUUGCUAGAUGUUAUCUCACUUACAAACCAUUACAAAGGAGAGACAAAACCACCAAGAAAGUCACCACAAAGUGACGGUGGAAAGAGGCAGAGGGAACUGGCAAAGAGAAAACACCAAGAGAGCUCAAGAAGGAGACAAGUCUUGUAGAGGUCAUGUAUAUCACAAGAAUAUAUAGGUAGACCAUUGCCCAAUAAGGUAAGUCCAUUAGGUUUAUUUAAUGGGUCAUAGGCCCAAUAGAAAUUAAAAUGGUUUAUAGAAUGAGCCUCUAGUAAUGCUAGCCAGCCAAGUAGGUGAAUAAUUGGCCAUGAGCAACACAACCUAAUUGGUUGUUUCAAAUUAUCUAAUUACUUUUGGGUCGAGUAAUUC